This 4899-nucleotide long non-coding RNA is filed under the name Varroa destructor (honeybee mite). Its description in RNAcentral is "uncharacterized LOC111255283, transcript variant X2". Lineage: Eukaryota; Metazoa; Arthropoda; Arachnida; Mesostigmata; Varroidae. The record is from RNAcentral.
AGCUGCUCCGCGCAUUAAGAAGAAAGGACUCACGAACGGACCAUUUCGGCUCGACAGCGGAAGAGAAGAAGCUUCUGUAAUGAAAUGUGAAGAUCCAACUGUCCGGUGCUAUCGUAACAUCGCUAUCGAAGGCACAGAUGCCUUCGCCCUACCCACCGUACAAUUCGACGUGCCCACUUCUGUUUUCGAACUUUCAAACAUCAUAAGACCAGAAAACCUAUCUAUCUUCAAAUCGCCUACAAACUGCAGUUUCGAGAAGUCUUUUCUUAACGUUAUCUAUAAAAGGAGAGAACCACAUUGUACUUAGGCCUCUAAAGCAGAUAACAUUAAAGUGUAUACAUUAAUUUCAGGUGAACAAAAUGCUCACCGACUUUUUGCUGAAAGCUUACAAAUGUGGGCUAAUGCGGGUAGGGCCUCGAGAAACAGUGCUCGUAUGUUUUCGAGGACCGAAAUUAGGGUCAACUGAGUAACAUACAUCCGGUGUACGAUUCUCAUCGAUUCCCGUUUCAGCUGAACAUGCCACACACGUAGGAUCCAAAUGUCCUUUAAAAGGCAACAUCUUCCAGACAUUUGAUGUUUUUAGCGAACAAAGGCCUGAAUAUACACACAUCGAGCUGUCAUACAGACCUUGGCGUAUGUCCUUUGAUUUCGAAGAAGCUACGCGGCGUUCAGUGUACGUAUGGCGUGCGACAUAGAUUUCUUGGCAAGAUGUCGGCUAAGGCAGCAGGGAUAUGGCAGCUGACUGAAUUAGUUAGAAGUAAAGAUAUGUUUGACGUGAUGUUUAACCUGUGAGAGAGCCGAGAGGGAUGGCGCAUGUCCAACAACAGGUGAGGAGGAUCUAACAGAGUGAUGGAAUACACAACACGACCCUACUGGUGACCUGCUAAGGAAACGGUAGGUCAUGAUAAGGCGGCGCCAUCACGAUCCACUAAUCCCAGGCACAGCAGACCUUUCAUGCUCAGAGAUUGCUAAAUCGUCUUCAUCCGCCUGCGUGACCCUGUUUGAAUAUUUAUUGAAGUCCGUUAUUGUAAGGUUGAACCCUAUCGACUCGAAUAUUCAUGCAGAAGCCGUACUUUCCAUGGCGCAACGAAGAAGGACCGAUACGAAUUUAUUUCAGAUAUGUAAAACAGACAUUUUAAUCUACCACAUGUAAAUGCACACCAUUGCUAUAGGCUCAAUUACAUAAUUCACAGCACAGAUUUAGGAAACGGUUUAAUCAGUCAUAAAACAAUUCAGCAAAUCGGCAACUAUUAUAUAUUUAGUACGAUUCUAUUUCCGUAGAAAUUUAAAAGUAAGAUUAAGCUUUACUGGGAAAGCGGGAAUAAGAUAGAAGCCCCUCAGAGUAAAAGAUUUCACUUGUUCUCAUGGUGACAUAAUCUAUAUAACCAAGAUAGAGCAAGGUAUAGCGUUCCCACUAAAGCCGGCUCGCUCGCUCGCUCGCUCGCUCACUCACUCACUCACUCACUCACUCACUCACUCGUAAAAUUGCCGCCUUGCGCCUUCAACACGUGUCCCAAAUACCCCCUCACUUGCCCCGCCUUCGUUUUCACUUGGCCGCUUACACGCAAAUGCCAAAGGAAAUGACAAAGUCCUAAACGGUAGAAAAGGCUAACGAAGUAGCGAUUCUCAAGAGACUUGCCAGGAGGACUGUGUCAAGCUGGGUCAAUGAUAGCCAAUCAACGCAGCGGACUGACUGACUGACUGACUGACUAGCAGAAGAAUCAACAAUCUCGGACGAGGGUGCCAAAGUCAACAGAACAUGCCACUGAAAUAGAAGCGAUUGAGGGAUAAAGCGGGCAUCCAAGCAAUAUGAUAAGCCAAUCAGCGACCCAUUCUUGUGGAAAAACAGCCGUAUGUGUCAGCAAAUGAACAUUAAGUGCGUCGUUUGGUAGUGAGUAAAGACGCUGCAAUAAACGAUGAACAGCGCCAUGGAAACGACGAGUUUUAAACAGGCAAGACAAAAAAAAUCUCUAAUUGCCAACGCCAUAGAGUUAAUUGAGAAACAAGACUUUUCAAAACAGGCCAUUGAGAGCCUGCUGUGUUUGUAUUUCUGUAAAUCAAAAGCGUGUUCGACUUCCAGCUGGGAAACAAACAAAUCAUUUAUAAUUCAAUAAAAUGCGUUGGUAAAGCUUCGAUUAGGUCAGCUUUUUCAGCUAUCACCUAUCCUACAAUAGAAAUGCAUGUGAAUUUUUCCGCUAGGGGAUCUUAAUGGCUUUUAGUCGUUCCCGUAAGCGUAUACCCCUUUUUCUAGACGUAAGGCAUUUUGUAUCAACUACUACAUUUUACGAACAAAUUGUUGAAUAACGCACAGUCACUCCAGCUGAUUACCAGACCGGAAGUCGCUUUAUUAAAGCGAUCGUGAGAUUCAAAGAAGGCGGCAAUAAAAAUAGUGGGAAUAAUACUUGCAGCCACAUCUAUACGACAAAACGUCUUGAUCAAAUGGUUAAGUGUCAAAUAAUUUUUGAGGCACAAAUCAUCUAAAAAUGACAUAGACGACUAUGCAUAAGAUACAUGUUAUAUAUAUAUAUAUAUAUAUAUAUAAAUUACGUAUCAUAUAAUAUUUAUAUAUUUAAUAACAGUAUUACAUGAAGACGCCACAUUCUGUCGAACGAAUGUCUCAAGGGAAUACACUUGAAGCAAAUCGCUUGAACAGCUCAAUUGUAGCGAGGGGGUAGACAGAUCUCCGACGAUCAACGAAGAAUAUGAAGUUCUGAGGGUCGUCCACACAUUCUAUCAGAAGUGGCGGCACGUGCAAAGCGUCCCGCCUCUGGUGAUGUAAGCGUGUGGUACGGAUACCGCGUUGCCGCGGAUACCGAGUUCAUUGAGAUCAUCGCGACCUGGCUAACUCUGAUAGCUACACCUCAGUGCGUCCAGCAGGUCGGGCGACAAGCCUGAGCUGAAGAGCUGAGAUUAGCUUGAUAGUUUCGUCGCCAGCGACGUCGUACAGAGCGCUUACCCGGAACCCCAGCCAUCUCCCUCGUAUCCUGCUGUCGUCAUAAUGCGCUGCCGCGGUUCUUCGGCUCCGCCCCAUCCUUCGCGGCGCACUCGACCCCUCUGACGGCGCGGCCAAAGGACGGGAGACCCGAGAGAUACACUCCCCAAGUGAGAGCUUACCGCCAAAGUUGACUUUACACUGAACGCUGGAAUAGGGAGCACUACGCCUACCGGCAGCUUUGGCCAGAUUCGCUGCCAGACUGACCGGCAUUGUGCCAGUAACAGCACUCUUCUUUUCUGGGACAUCAGUUAGUGAUGGGGAAGCGAGAAAAUGGUGCCGUUGACACAGUUCCCUAAUUGUGGUAAUCGGUGGCACAAACGGCCCUGCCCAGUCCGACAACGCAGGCGACGAAUGGCGUACCAUCGUCAGUCAUGGACCGUACGGCCCCUGCUACCAUAGGUGUAAAUGACUGUCAAGUCAAGCGUUUCCUGGGAAAUCAAGUGGAUCAAGGAAGAAAUAAAACUGGCUUGACAAAACAGCAAGAUCCAGGGGAUUAGGAGCAACGUCCUUAUCCGUCAGAACACUCAGCAACUUACAAACAUAACGAGAAGAGUCGAAACUAGAAGCCAGGGCAAGUCAGAUAUCAACAAGACGAGACGGUGUGGAUUUUACGUGAACGUAUCAGUAAAGAAGUUUGAGUGUAAAUAUAAGGUUAAAUCUAUUGGCUGUGAACCAGAAAUGGAACUGAAUAAGAUAUGAGUAAAACUUUAACUUGUUACAGGAGGUGGAUGCGAACAUUUAGCUUAAUAGCGUCGCCGCCCGCGUAUAUUCGGGUCAUAUACUCGUCGGGGUCAUGUAAUAUAACUGAAUGUAACGUUUUUUCUUCACAAAAUGCAAUUUGCAUUUAGUCAGCUUUUGAAAAUGCAGCUUCGAAGCAGUCGAAACUGUUGUACAAACACAAAGCGGUUAUUUUACAUGUUUUUUUCCUUUAACAAAAGUUUAAUGAAAUGCGAAAAAAAAAACAAACGGUAGCUCAGCUUUUGGACUUUGGACAAAGGAAAAUCCCAGGAAGGAUGAAUUCUAUCCAGUUUUUGGCCCGUAUGCAUCUAACAGACUGGGAGACCCUGAGAUCUCUCGCAUCUAAAAUGAGCGUUUCGUUGCUAGAAACAACAAGGUGGUCUAUAUAAGUGUCUUUUUCCCCUAUAUAAGUGAUUUUUAUUUUCUCAUAAAUAGUGAAACUACAAGCAUAGAAUAUGACUCGUGCGUCACCAUGGUGCCUAGCAGUUCCAUACGUGUGUAGAAACUUUUCAUUUCAAUGGCAAAAUGCAUUCAAUAGAAUGGCCGUUUACUUGGUACGGAAGAACGCUAGCAAGGUUAAAUAAUAUUCCUAAAAAAUAGAGAUAUAACGUACAGAAAGUACAAUUGAUCAUCAUAGCCAUAUCGCAACCGGCUCUCGCUUAAACAUAGACGCAGUUCUUCUGUAUGUCUUGAGCAUCGAAUAAGAAUGAGCUAUGAUUACUGAGCUCUUAGUUUAAAAGAUGUUUCCGAAACGCACCUUAGCUCUCUGAUCGUGUUAAUAAAUACAUGUAAAGGUUUUCGGACGACUAGAUCCGUAUUUUGGUUAGAGGUCCGAAGACACAUUCGCGCGCUGCGAAUACCAGCCCCUUUCUAUUACACCAAACGCUUAACUAAUAGUAUAUAACCAGCCAUAACUAUAUGCUCGCCUUUAGUAUUACCUAAUAAAAUAAACAAGUGCCUGAAUAAAAUUCGAUUGGUUAGUCUCAAGCUUCAAGUAACGAACGUUUGUUAGCAACGUAUGUAUCUUCGAUAGGCAGUUAUUCUUUUGUUCAAUAAAAUAGUUGACUUUCGCCCCUUUAGCGCAAAGAAAAACACCGAAUUCAGCGGUUAAGCGAGCUUGGUCGAAUUGUUUCAUUUUGAUUUAACAAUAGUGCAUUAUAGAUGUA